RNAcentral lists this transfer RNA (97 nucleotides) under Peptoclostridium acidaminophilum. Its description in RNAcentral is "transfer RNA-selenocysteine". It matches the Rfam family "Selenocysteine transfer RNA". Lineage: Bacteria; Bacillati; Bacillota; Clostridia; Peptostreptococcales; Peptoclostridiaceae. RNAcentral also lists the same sequence under 2 other names. The record is from RNAcentral.
GGGAGUAGAUGGGUGCUGGUGUGCCCUCUGGUCUUCAAAACCAGUUCGGGGGGUUAAGAGCCUCCUGGGUGGGUUCGAUUCCCACAUAUUCCCGCCA